UACAGAGGUGGCAAGCGUUGUUCGGAAUUACUGGGUGUAAAGGGCGCGUAGGCGGCCGCCUAAGUCAGACGUGAAAUCCCCAGGCUUAACUUGGGAACUGCGUCUGAUACUGGGUAGCUUGAGUUCGGGAGAGGAAUGUGGAAUUCCAGGUGUAGCGGUGAAAUGCGUAGAUAUCUGGAGGAACACCGGUGGCGAAGGCGGCAUUCUGGACCGGUAUUGACGCUGAGGCGCGAAAGCCAGGGGAGCAAACGGG
RNAcentral lists this ribosomal RNA (253 nucleotides) under uncultured bacterium. Its description in RNAcentral is "partial 16S ribosomal RNA". It matches the Rfam family "Bacterial small subunit ribosomal RNA", at positions 524 to 776 of the family's 1533-position model. The record is from RNAcentral.